This 161-nucleotide small RNA is filed under the name human gut metagenome. Its description in RNAcentral is "Clostridiales-1 RNA". It matches the Rfam family "Clostridiales-1 RNA". The record is from RNAcentral.
ACUAGGUUACAAAAAGACAGGGAGUACCCGUGCUUGCACGUGGUACUCCCUGUCUUUUUAGGAACCGCCCAAUCAUGAGGAAGAAGCAAUUUGCGAAGCAAAUUAGCGGAUUCCGAAUGAUUGUAGGAUUGCGAGAGCGAAGCGAAGCAAUCCGUAGGUAU